GAGCUAGAAAUUCAUCAUCCGUUUCAUUUUUUUCAGAUAACACAUUGAAGCGCAAAACAAAACUGUCAAGUAAAAAAAGAAAGAUAACACAUUGAAGCUCAAAACAAAACUGUCAAGUAAAAAAAGAAAGAUAACACAUUGAAGCUCAAAACAAAACUGUCAAGUAAAAAAAGAAAGAUAACACAUUGAAGCUCAAAACAAAACUGUCAAGUAAAAAAAGAAAGAUAACACAUUGAAGCUCAAAACAAAACUGUCAAGUAAAAAAAGAAAGAUAACACAUUGAAGCUCAAACUAAAACUGUCAAGUAAAAAAAGAAAG
Rhopilema esculentum is the source of this 318-nucleotide non-coding RNA. The record is from RefSeq and is a predicted model, not a curated record. NCBI's taxonomy places the organism in Eukaryota, Metazoa, Cnidaria, Scyphozoa, Rhizostomeae, Rhizostomatidae.